This 77-nucleotide microRNA precursor is filed under the name Tursiops truncatus (common bottlenose dolphin). Its description in RNAcentral is "miRNA (ENSTTRG00000024690.1)". The record is from RNAcentral. Lineage: Eukaryota; Metazoa; Chordata; Mammalia; Artiodactyla; Delphinidae.
GGUUGGCCAAAAAGUUCGUUCAGGUUUUCUAUAAGAUGUUACAGAAAAACCCAAACUAACUUUUUGGCCAGCCCAAU